RNAcentral lists this transfer RNA (73 nucleotides) under Sarcophilus harrisii (Tasmanian devil). Its description in RNAcentral is "tRNA-Tyr (GTA) (tRNA-Tyr-GTA-2-1)". It matches the Rfam family "tRNA". Rfam says of the family: Transfer RNA (tRNA) molecules are approximately 80 nucleotides in length. Lineage: Eukaryota; Metazoa; Chordata; Mammalia; Dasyuromorphia; Dasyuridae. RNAcentral also lists the same sequence under 60 other names. The record is from RNAcentral.
CCUUCGAUAGCUCAGUUGGUAGAGCGGAGGACUGUAGAUCCUUAGGUCGCUGGUUCGAUUCCGGCUCGAAGGA